UACUAACAAUUCUACGUAUAUUAUACAUGUAAAAAGACUCAAAUUUUCAAAGAUAAAAUAGUUAUUCUAACCGAUAUUAAGUCUUGUCUGGACUUACCACAACUCUCGUUCCUGGUUAUAGGUUGCAAAGCCUUAGGCCGUAUCCGAGAGGUCAGAUACUUAUGGUUGGAAGACAUUGGUGAAAGAAUUCGUUUAGGGAACCUUGGUUGGGCAACUAUGAGGGUCCUAAGUAACGCCCUUGAUCUAUAAUUAUUCCUAAAACAAGUCGGGGUGUUACAAGCGUGGUCUCAGAUCAUGGUAACACGAUGC
RNAcentral lists this long non-coding RNA (309 nucleotides) under Capsella grandiflora. RNAcentral's name for it is "long non-coding RNA (CGRA_LNC001678)". The record is from RNAcentral. Lineage: Eukaryota; Viridiplantae; Streptophyta; Magnoliopsida; Brassicales; Brassicaceae.